RNAcentral lists this ribosomal RNA (541 nucleotides) under uncultured bacterium. RNAcentral's name for it is "bacterial SSU rRNA". It matches the Rfam family "Bacterial small subunit ribosomal RNA", at positions 135 to 671 of the family's 1533-position model. The record is from RNAcentral.
AGUGGGGGAUAACGUAGCGAAAGUUACGCUAAUACCGCAUAUUCUGUGAGCAGGAAAGAGGGGGAUCGCAAGACCUCUCGCUUUCGGAGCGGCCGAUGUCGGAUUAGCUAGUUGGCGGGGUAAAGGCCCACCAAGGUAACGAUCCGUAGCGGGUCUGAGAGGAUGAUCCGCCACACUGGGACUGAGACACGGCCCAGACUCCUACGGGAGGCAGCAGUGGGGAAUUUUGGACAAUGGGCGCAAGCCUGAUCCAGCCAUGCCGCGUGAGUGAAGAAGGCCUUCGGGUUGUAAAGCUCUUUCGGCUGGGAAGAAAUCGCAUCUCCUAAUACGGGGUGCGGAUGACGGUACCAGCAUAAGAAGCACCGGCUAACUACGUGCCAGCAGCCGCGGUAAUACGUAGGGUGCGAGCGUUAAUCGGAAUUACUGGGCGUAAAGCGUGCGCAGGCGGUUUCGUAAGACAGACGUGAAAUCCCCGGGCUCAACCUGGGAACUGCGUUUGUGACUGCGAGGCUAGAGUAUGGCAGAGGGGGGUGGAAUUCCA